Molecule: long non-coding RNA, 2898 nt
Organism: Thamnophis elegans (Western terrestrial garter snake)
Lineage: Eukaryota; Metazoa; Chordata; Lepidosauria; Squamata; Natricidae
Exons: 2
Source: RefSeq, a predicted model, not a curated record
AACAACAGAAACUCUUUAUUAUGAUCUCUGUAGUAACUAAACAAGAAGAAUACACACCUCUUGAUAAGAAUGAAGGAAAGUUUUCCUUGUUCAGAAACAUCCAAGUGGUGAGUCACAAAGGGUAAAAGUCCGUAAAAUUUUAUAAUGUGGAUAAUUAAAUCAUUUAAGGAAUGUCAUGAAUGGAACAAUGUGUUCAUGAGACUAAUGAACUCAUAUUCUGAGUUGUAUCAAGAUUAGAUAAAAUAUAAUUACAGAACUAGACAGUAUCACAGUCACAUUAUCUUUUACUAUAACAACAUAUCCUUGGAAAAAUGAAUAAAUAUUAAUUCAUUAAUUCCUAGAAAUAACAAGAUAACAGGUUUAUACUACUUUUAGAUAAUCCAUUUUGAGGUGACCAUUGCACAAUAUUUCUAUCUGCAUUCUGUACUAUAGUUUUGCUUUCAUUUCUGUAUUUUCCACUUUUGUCUGUAUCUGUUAGAGGCUCUGGGUUGCAAAAUAUUAAAAUGUAGAAUUCUAAAAUACAAGACACACUUGUCCUAUUUUCAUUGCCAGUUUAAUCCAGUUUAAUGAAACCUCUUUAUGUACCCAUAGUCGAAUUUUCCCUUAGGGUUGCAAGAUGCUGCCCACAUCUCAUGCCCAUCCCAUAAAUAAAACUGCUAAAGUAUACCCAAAUAAAAGCAGCUCUUUCCUGCUUAAGCCAACAUAAUAUAGCCAGAGCUUCAUGGUAUAUAAAAUCCACAAAGCUUUGUCAGUUAUUAGAAAAUGAGAUUGGUAAACUAUGCUGUGUUUGGAAAUUGGUCAGUUUCAGUCCUUCUCCAUGCCUAACAUUCUCUUAUGAAGUAAGAUAACGCCAGUUAGCUUCAAUUAUCCAUUCCUAUGGGGCCUAUCUGCCUCCUUCCUCUUUGGGUCUAUUUUUACUCUAGUCUUUUUGCAUGAUUAUACCUUUUUUAAAAAUUUAAAGGAUACUAAGUGGGGAUUAGGAGAAGGGGGAACACAGACAGAAGGAAUCCUAUGUCUGACUCAUCCCAUUCAUGUUGCAAUGGCCUCUUUAGGUAUAUUUUCUACUGGUUGGGGUCAUGAGGUGGGGGGAGGCAUAGCAAGCAAAGCAAAAUGGGGAAACAAUUUACUGAUCAUGACUGGCACAUUUAUUAAUUAGGACACUAUUAUUCAACAGCAAGAAAUCAUAGAAGACACAGCAGGAGCAGAAUAGAGAAUGGAGACUGGAAAGGUUGUGUUGACAAUAUUUUCUGCUGAUUCAUGGAUGGAUGGAGAGACAAUAUUUUAAGAGGAAAAGAUGAAAUCUAAGCUGCCAAUAAGAUCAAACAAGAUGCUAGAGAAAAAGAGGCACAAAAACGGGAAAAACACAUGAUAACAAUUUGAUAAGGAAACCGUACUGUAAGUCAACAAACUACAGCAAUUCUCUAUUGCUGACAGAGUACUUUAAAGUGGACAGCUCCUAAUAGUGAAUGAAGAGCACUUGUUCUCAAUUUUUGCAGUAAACAAGAAAAUCAGAUUACAUUGUGUGUAAACACUGGAAGAUAAACAAUAGAAUAUAGUUUUAUCUGGAUUCACUGUAAAAUUAUUUCUGUGAAACCCACUGUAUGAUCCUGGCCUUCUGGAAAUCAAAGAGCUUCUACCUUAGCAUAAUUGAACAUGGGCAAAAUUGCCUCUGUUCCUGACAUAUGUCUCACAACCAACCCUGGAUCCUUCAUUGUCAACUUAAAUUGUGAAGAAAGCUGUUAACUGCAUAAACUGAUAGCAGCAGAUGCUUAGUUCAGCCCCAAUUCACCAGGUGGCAUUUAUUAACUUCACUUUUUCCUUCUUUAGGCCAGUUAGAAACAAUUUUUGUUUUACAAUAUUGAUGUAACUGUAGAGAAAUCAACAGUAGGAAGCACUUAAUAAAUAAGUACACUUAAUAAAACAAUAUUUACUUUAAAACACAAACAAUGUUGCAACAGUGUCCCCGAAAACUGCUGUAAAGAGACCAAAGAUCUUUUAAUUAGUCUCAAAGAUAUAUAUAUAUAUCCCUUUCUUCACGAUGCACUUUUGGUCGCACUUUGCCACAAGUCACCUGAACUCACCUGCCUAAACCAGGCAGGCACCGCCCCCACCGUUCUAUGUUCCUGCGGCUGGCGGGACCUCACCAGGCACAGUGGAAAAUCCAGUUUUCUCGAACUGGAAGGUUCAGUUUAAGAUUCUUUACAUUCUUGGACUAAGGACAAGCUAAGGCCAGAGUCCUUCAGACGAGGGGAAAAUAGGUCGGCUGGGAAGUUCUGGAACCGAUGCAAGUCGCAACUGGCCCCAUUCUUGCAAUGCUAACUUUCCAUGCGGCUUCUCUUUCAUACUUGAAGCCGGGACCUCUAACUGACCCGCGCCUGACCCGUUGCGCGGUCUACGCAGGACACCCAUUCAAGUUCCCAAUGCUUUUAAUAAAACUUUCACAGCAGGAGGCGAGAGAUGUAUCAGCAGGCCACUUCCUUCACCUCUGCGGCACUUCGUCGGACUCGGAGGAGAAAAGCUUCCCUUUUGCGGACGUAGCUGUCGAGGUCUCGAAAGGAGCCCCGACCACGCCCCCUUCCUUUGCUCUCCCUCCUCGCCGCACUUUCUGCCCGCAGUCCAGUCUCCACCCAAGAUGAGUAAGACCGCCCUUUCCUCUGGCCGUGCCGCCUCUUUUGGCCCCGCCUCUUGUGUUGGCAGGUUGGCCAAUCCGGCCCUAGCCGGUAACGGGGCGCUGUACCGCGCGUGGGUUCUCCUCCCUCGCCCUCUUUUGCUUCUUGGCGCUCGCGGAGUCCGGCCGCUUUCCUCCCGCGUCUGCUUUGCUGCUCGCUGGACAGCGGUACAGUUGAAUAGAACCCAAGGAAAACAAUAGCUGCAUAUAUUCUUGCUUAGUUCCCAUUU